Molecule: ribosomal RNA, 467 nt
Filed under: uncultured bacterium
Lineage: Bacteria
Description: partial 16S ribosomal RNA
Rfam family: Bacterial small subunit ribosomal RNA
Source: RNAcentral
ACGAACGCUGGCGGCGUGCUUCACACAUGCAAGUCGAACGGAAAGGCCCUGCUUUUGUGGGGUGCUCGAGUGGCGAACGGGUGAGUAACACGUGAGUAACCUGCCCUUGACUUUGGGAUAACUUCAGGAAACUGGGGCUAAUACCGGAUAGGAGCUCCUGCUGCAUGGUGGGGGUUGGAAAGUUUCGGCGGUUGGGGAUGGACUCGCGGCUUAUCAGCUUGUUGGUGGGGUAGUGGCUUACCAAGGCUUUGACGGGUAGCCGGCCUGAGAGGGUGACCGGCCACAUUGGGACUGAGAUACGGCCCAGACUCCUACGGGAGGCAGCAGUGGGGAAUAUUGCACAAUGGGCGGAAGCCUGAUGCAGCAACGCCGCGUGCGGGAUGACGGCCUUCGGGCUGUAAACCGCUUUCGCCUGUGACGAAGCGUGAGUGACGGUAAUGGGUAAAGAAGCACCGGCUAACUACGUG